CUUCCUUUCAAAACUCAUUAGUGGCAUUUAUCCUCAUUUGAAUGAGAAGAAGCCACAAAGAUUUCAACUGGAGGUUCACUCAGCAGGCCCCAGCAAUUCCCACCAAGCCUUCACACACCAUCAAUCAUUCUCUUUCAUAUGGCUUUGAAUUGGAAAAUUCUUUUCUAUUCCCAUGUCACGGGCUACUCCAGGAGCUUAGCAACUCGAGUGGUUGCCCUGGAAGAGGACUCCACCCUCCCUAACUAAGACCAAUGGGGAGCUGAAGAUAAACAGACUGAAAGAAGGUAUUUUCUGAAGCUUAAUAGAAACUUACAACAGGAUUAACAAUGAAUUGAAAAGGGGGCAGCUACAAAACAGGUCAAUGUCUGAAGGUCAAGCAAAAGGAACAAAGUGAAACAAAUACCAGUAAAAUGAGAGGAAAAAUAUUCUCCUCUUGUUUGGCAAAGCUUGGACUAGAAAUGGCCCCUCUGGCAAAGAUUUCUUGGGACCUAAAGUCAACUAGUGAUGCCCACAGUCUAUGAACAAAGUAUAUUCUGUUCAUAGGCCCAUAGUCAGUGCCUAGCCAGUCCAGCUAGGUAUUUGGUUAUUUGAAGUUUCACAGCCUUUUUGUAUUUAUCAUUUGGAUCCUGACAGCCUUAGAGGAGCUGUUUCCUUCCAGCAGAGAAUUGUUGCAGACAACAUGGACCUCUGGUUGAAGGAGAUGAUGG
RNAcentral lists this long non-coding RNA (707 nucleotides) under Gallus gallus (chicken). Its description in RNAcentral is "lncRNA (ENSGALG00010010258.1)". Lineage: Eukaryota; Metazoa; Chordata; Aves; Galliformes; Phasianidae. The record is from RNAcentral.